CAAGGUUUAAGAUUGUGGUAACAUCAAUCAAGUAAGUAGUAAGAUGAUGGCUUUUGCUUCCUCCUAUGUUUCUCAAUUUCAUCACACCUUCUUACUUACUGAGAGAUUUUGCUUACAGUUACUUAUUAAGUGGCGCCUGAAUGGGGUUCAACAACGUUACAAGAAAUCUCCCUCCCUUCUUGGUAACCGUUGUUUAACUGGAUCAAUUCCACCGGAACUAGGCAAUAUCACCACCCUCAUAAAACUGACCUCUUCCAUCCGAGUUAGGGAGAUUAACAAAUUUGAGUAAAUUGAUGGAUGUUGUCUUCAAACAUGUUGACCGGAAAGCUGCCAGCGACCCUUGGUCAACUAGGAAAUCUAAAAGACUUGAUAAACGAAAACAAUUUCUGUGAGUGGGUCAAUACCUGAUUUUAUACAAAACUGGAGAUUACUUACUAGAUUAGAGAUGGUGACUCAUGGGACCUAUUCCUUCAAACAUAUCUCUUCUUGAGAAUCUAAUUGAUCUGAGAAUUGGUGAAAUAGCCGGACCCGCUCAACCUUUUCCUCAGCUCAACAAUACUCAUGGAUUAAUGUAGAGAUUUCUAGCAUUGACUAUUGUGUUGACUCGUUGGAGCUCUGAUAUUCCAUUCAUAA
RNAcentral lists this long non-coding RNA (633 nucleotides) under Helianthus annuus (common sunflower). RNAcentral's name for it is "hypothetical non coding rna". Lineage: Eukaryota; Viridiplantae; Streptophyta; Magnoliopsida; Asterales; Asteraceae. The record is from RNAcentral.